GGGAGUUUCCUUGCCCUCAACCGGGAAGAUCUAGAAAAGACAGAUGGUUGCAGUUUCUGGAAGUGAGGAAGAUAAUUCUACCACUUCAGAAUCGCCAGCCCAGGACAUUUAAAAACCAAGGCACCGCUAAAGAAAAGAAGUUUCCUUCAGAGAUGAAUGUGUCCAAGAUAAAGGGUGAUGGCUUGAAGAAAGAACAAACACUCAUAGCUACACGACCCGUUAACACGAAAGAUCCAGAAACCAACCACUUCUGAUUUGGUUCCCUGCUGUUACUUAUUUAUGGAAGAUGGGUAAAUAGUGAAAUGUUAUAAAUAGUAAAAAA
This is a long non-coding RNA of Aethalodelphis obliquidens (Pacific white-sided dolphin), 322 nucleotides long. RefSeq lists it as uncharacterized. NCBI's taxonomy places the organism in Eukaryota, Metazoa, Chordata, Mammalia, Artiodactyla, Delphinidae. The record is from RefSeq and is a predicted model, not a curated record. The transcript is spliced from 2 exons.